UACGGGGGGUGCAAGCGUUAUUCGGAAUCAUUGGGCGUAAAGAGCGCGUAGGCGGUCUUCUAUGUCAGGUGUGAAAGCCCGGGGCUCAACCUCGGAAGUGCACUUGAAACUGGGAGACUUGAGUAUGGGAGAGGGAAGUGGAAUUCCUGGUGUAGCGGUGAAAUGCGUAGAUAUCAGGAGGAACACCGGUGGCGAAGGCGACUUCCUGGACCAAUACUGACGCUGAGGCGCGAAGGCGUGGGGAGCAAACAGG
RNAcentral lists this ribosomal RNA (253 nucleotides) under uncultured bacterium. RNAcentral's name for it is "partial 16S ribosomal RNA". It matches the Rfam family "Bacterial small subunit ribosomal RNA", at positions 524 to 776 of the family's 1533-position model. The record is from RNAcentral.